GACGAACGCUGGCGGCGUGCUUAACACAUGCAAGUCGAACGCUGAAGCCUAGCUUUUGUUGGGUGGAUGAGUGGCGAACGGGUGAGCAACACGUGAGUAACCUGCCCCCUUCUUUGGGAUAACGCCCGGAAACGGGUGCUAAUGCUGGAUAUUCACUGAUCUUCGCAUGGGGGUUGGUGGAAAGGUUUUUUCUGGUGGGGGAUGGGCUCGCGGCCUAUCAGCUUGUUGGUGGGGUGAUGGCCUACCAAGGCUUUGACGGGUAGCCGGCCUGAGAGGGUGACCGGUCACAUUGGGACUGAGAUACGGCCCAGACUCCUACGGGAGGCAGCAGUGGGGAAUAUUGCACAAUGGGCGAAAGCCUGAUGCAGCGACGCCGCGUGAGGGAUGGAGGCCUUCGGGUUGUAAACCUCUUUCGCUCAUGGUCAAGCCGCAACAUUGGUUGUGGUGAGGGUAGUGGGUAAAGAAGCGCCGGCUAACUACGUGCCAGCAGCCGCGGUAAUACGUAGGGCGCGAGCGUUGUCCGGAAUUAUUGGGCGUAAAGGGCUUGUAGGCGGUUGGUCGCGUCUGCCGUGAAAUCCUCUGGCUUAACUGGGGGCGUGCGGUGGGUACGGGCUGACUUGAGUGCGGUAGGGGAGACUGGAACUCCUGGUGUAGCGGUGGAAUGCGCAGAUAUCAGGAAGAACACCGGUGGCGAAGGCGGGUCUCUGGGCCGUUACUGACGCUGAGGAGCGAAAGCGUGGGGAGCGAACAGG
This 752-nucleotide ribosomal RNA is filed under the name uncultured Actinomyces sp. RNAcentral describes it as "bacterial SSU rRNA". It matches the Rfam family "Bacterial small subunit ribosomal RNA", at positions 28 to 776 of the family's 1533-position model. Lineage: Bacteria; Bacillati; Actinomycetota; Actinomycetes; Actinomycetales; Actinomycetaceae. The record is from RNAcentral.